CUGACUUACUCCUCGUGGUGUCGCCUGUCGUGCCACCAUGUUGCUAUGGCCAAGUUCUGGCUGUUUGUGAACGCAGGGGCUUCAGUCUGACGGGGCUGCAGAGGCUGCAGCUUCAGAGCAAUGGAGCUGCAGUCCUUGGACUCACCAACCAGCAGGCACUUGCAUUCUGCAGUCCACAUAUUGGGACCCCGGAUCAGGAGCAGCUGGAGCGGCCCUCUCACUGUCUGGUGUUGUUACUGAGGAAAGAAAAUGCGACGCACCACAGUGUUAGUCUUCCAGCAGCCCUAAUGAGAGAAUUUAAGGCACAAAAGCUUCUGGGUUGCAUCCAAUCCAGGCUUGAAGGUGUUCACACAGUAGAGUCGAGCUUCUGUUUCCACGCUGUAUCUUACAGCAAUAACCUGUUCCAUAUCUUUGUUAGGCGAAUGUGUGCAGUGCCAGAUCCCUCAGGUGUGAUCCUGUCCCAUCAGAAGUGCUCAUCCACCUCUAACAUGGAGCAGGUGGUGAUUUUGACCUUGUGUGGGAAGGACAUGAGCCAAGGCCUGAGCCUCCUACACAGAGUGCUGACAGAAGGGGCAGCAGGUGACGUACAACGCACAGGAUUCGAGCUGCUCGGCCUGAAGUAUCUGCCUGUGUUGACUCGAAUUCAGGCUCAGGAGCUUAGUCCAUACGAGGUGGGAGAGCAGCUCUGUCACAACAGCCUGGACAAUCUGAUGCCCUCUCCUGCCCUAGUGUGUGCUCUUAGACGAGUGGAUGGUUUUGCUUUGCUGAGAAAGCUCCUACCACACAAUUACCCUGGUAACCUCAGUGUCCUGAUGUCACCCACACCUGAAGUGGCUUUCAGACAAGCGUCCCUCUUCUUCUUUGAGCAUGAGACCAUUCCUGACCCACAGAUGCUGCUCACUGUGUGCCUAUUCAAGCCAGGAAUCUGGAACCACGCUCUGGCUGAAAUAGUUUGGAAACUCCAACUGAGUGGCCUCAGGAUAGUGGGCCUGCGUGUAGUGACCCUGGACAGAAGCAACGCUACCUCACUUCUGCCUGCAGAAAGUGACCCCUCAGACAUGGAGACCCAUGUGGAGUACUUGUGCUCUGGCUCCUCACUGGCUCUCUGCCUUGAGGGGGAGAAUGCUGUGAGAAGGCUGCUGUAUGUGCUGGGCCAAGAGGACUGGACAACCUGUUUUGGCAUGGCUCAGUCACACAAAGGCAUCUAUGGAUCAGAAUCAUAUCAGAAAGCAAUUCAGGAUGUGAAGAGGCUUUUUCCAAACGGGCUCUGCUGUUCUCAGACCAGCACAAUGAGACAGGAGCAGAUACUCAAGAUGUGCUCAGACCCUUUAGCCUCUGUGGAGCGUGAACAGAGCUGCACACUGGCCCUCAUUGCCCGGGAGUGUCUGUCACCUUCAGUGGCAUCAGAACCAAAUAGAGGGUCCCUGAUACACAGUGCUCUCUGGCAGACAACCUGUCUGCUGAUACCCUUAAACGCUCCACCCCUCAGCCAGGUGCCAUCCCAGCUGGACCUGCUGGAGCAGUUGCUGAGGUCAGGCUGCCAUCUGGUGGCAGGGAGGAUGAGCAUACUAGAUAAUGAGCAGAGGAAACAUAUCGCUGAGACACUGAAAGUGUCAUCAAGAGGCAAUGAUAAGAUGGCUCAUCUUUUCACUACACCCUGUCUCAUCAUGGCUCUGCAAGGGGAAAUGAUUGUGACCUGCUUUAACCUGAUCCUUGAAAGCAUCUACAAGGACAGGUCAGACCUAGAAAAAGUGGGGAAAAGGAUCAUCUACACCAAGAAUGAGGAAGAGGCCAAGCAGCUCAUAUGUUACCUAUUUGAUGUCUUGUCUUCCAAGAGCUGUCAUACUAUUGUGCCAUGA
Dicentrarchus labrax (European seabass) is the source of this 1859-nucleotide long non-coding RNA. Lineage: Eukaryota; Metazoa; Chordata; Actinopteri; Moronidae. The record is from Ensembl.